CGGAUAGAGCCAGCGAAGUCGCUCGUAUUCAGCCAAAAGUCUGGGGUUGCCUGUCGUCGUGUUUCUAAUCGAGCACGGCGGUUUGUCUUCUCCGGAUUGAGGUGCAUUUGCGGGCGUUUGCGCUGAGACUUGCGAGGCAGCUGCGGGACCGGCGUCUAGAGGCUUCCCAUUGGGUUGAACCUGGGCGCCGUUACAGCUGUUUGCCUUGCUCGUACUGGUCUGGCCUACGGACCCUGCUCGUGCUGUUGUCAACUGGCCAAGGCAUCGCAUGCGAUGUCUAGCCUGGGGGCUGCAGCGCGGGUUGGUGUCCCCGGAUCGCCUCUCGGUGUAGAAGCUGGUCAUCUCUCCGACCCGUCUUGAAACACGGACCAAGGAGUUUAGCGUAUGCGCGAGUCAUUGGGUGUUAAAACUCACAGGCGCAAUGAAAGUGAAGGCUCGGUCGCCGGGCUGACAUGCGAGUGCCGCGGCUUCGGCCUAGGCAUGCAGCAUGGUCCCAUUGCAAUCGUUUACGAUACAGUGGAGACAGAGCGUAUGCGCUGAG
RNAcentral lists this ribosomal RNA (541 nucleotides) under Mesocriconema xenoplax. RNAcentral's name for it is "partial large subunit ribosomal RNA". It matches the Rfam family "Eukaryotic large subunit ribosomal RNA", at positions 420 to 813 of the family's 3401-position model. Lineage: Eukaryota; Metazoa; Nematoda; Chromadorea; Rhabditida; Criconematidae. The record is from RNAcentral.